GUCUACAGCCAUGCCACCCUGAGAAGCCCAAUCCUAUCUGAUCUCGGAAGCUACACAGGGGGCCUGGUUAGUACUUGGAUGGAAGACCACCUAGGAAGACCAAGUGCUAUAGGUG
This 115-nucleotide ribosomal RNA is filed under the name Pteropus alecto (black flying fox). Lineage: Eukaryota; Metazoa; Chordata; Mammalia; Chiroptera; Pteropodidae. The record is from RNAcentral.